UAGGCCCAUCACUCCCUUUCAUCCCAUUUUAGGUACAGGAGGCUUGAUGGAUCAGCUAUUCCUCCAGGAAAGCCAGGAUUAAGGGGGUCAGGUCAGCAGUGUGAGAACGCCUUUAACAGUAGUGUGGGAACACAGGGCUCCCUUAUUAACACGUUAAUGUACUGAACCUGAAGCUCAUUUUAACGAGAUGGAGACAGUGGAGUCCUCCCCCGUCAGCCCAGACCUGUGCCCUCAGAGCUGCCUGAUCCACCAAGUGACAAAUCUCCUGGAAAUCUCAUAAACCAGGGCGAGCACAACAUCAGGAUUUACUGACCACAGCAAAGGUUUCUCUGAAGACCCAAAAGAAGAGCUUUAAGCAAGACAGCAAAGGCUGACGUUACAGCAGAAGUGCUGAGAUCCCUCCAUGUAUACAUACAUGUGCCUGGUGAAAUGCAAAUCUCUAGGAUUUUGAGAGUUUGCAAAUAAUGACUCCAGUCUUUGGCUGCCUGCCACUUCUGUGAAAAACUAGAAUAGCCACAGUGCAAGACUAUAAUAUUAAAGAAAGAAAAAAAAAGGAAAAAAAAAAAGGAAAAAGGAAAAGGAAAAAUAGAGGGAUUCUUGCUGAACUCUGUGUAUUUCCUACCAGGACGGACCUGUUCAAGAUGCAAUGUACUGGAAGGCAGCAAUUAGGUCACCUCUAAGCCUAAGCCUCUUCAGUAACAUCAAGGAACAAACAACAACAACAACAAAGCCCUGCGAGGUUAACCCUAAUUCAUUUCCCAAGGCCCCCGUCACUACUGAUGCAGCUGCCUUGUGGAGGAAGCUGUUUGAAGCGGGGCAGCAUAUCCGUGUCCUUCCCACCUGGCCACCCACACCCCAGCAUCCCUGGACUGUGUGAGAACAAGCACAGAGGACUCAGGCUGGACAAGAUGCCUCCAGGUCCAAGCUCCGGCAGCUGCUUUCAUCCUGUGCAUCUCUCUGAGAAAGACACUGCUGGAGGGGACCCUCCUGGCCACAGGAGGCAUCAUUAGAGCCGUGAGCUGGCCUUCAAACCACCGGGCUUGUGCUCAGAAGAAAUGAAGAAGUGUAAGAAGGAAGAACAAUAAAAGAAACACCCAGCUCUGCCCUGCUCAGACAGGUAAUGUGGGGAGGGGUCACACACGUGCUGGGGGCUGCUCUGCUUUUCCCUUUUGAAACUGGUGGGCCCAGCUACUACAUGACAAUUAUCCAUGUAUCCAGAUUUACGAGAUUCCUCAGCCAGCCAAUAAAACCGGGAGGGAAAUAUAGAGAUGUCCAUAAAUGACAUAUUUUCAUGCUUUGUGCAUCCCGUCCCUGCGAAGCGCUUUUGAGCAGCUAAGCAAUUUACAUCUAAUAGCAAAGUGUUUUUUAAUCAGUCAGAUCAAUUUGUGAAGAAUUGGUACAUUAGGUAUAGCCAUAUAGCAGAGAUCCUUAUAGCAAAGGUUUGGAAGUAAUUGCUCCCUGACCCACUGAACACUGUAUUACUAUAGAAGUUUGUAUUCUAUUAAGAGUUAAUAAGUGACCAAAAUCUAGACUAAUACACUGUCAGGGUUCAUUAUCAUUACAGGUUCUUGCUAUUUUUCCAGUGCCUUUUGCUCUGCCGUUCUUGCUACGUAUGGAAAACCUAUAUCAAGAUGGUUGUCAUGGCAAUGGAAAGAUUUGCAUGUGUCUUAUCUAUCUAUUUAAAUACCUUCUUAUGGUUUAUAACUGCCAUAAUACAUCCCUCCAGCCCUGCUCAUUGCUAAUUUAGAGCCAGCCCAGUGUGUCUGAGGUCAGCGAUACCAUCGGAAGCAUGUUGUCUAGACAACUCCAGAGCCACUGUCCACGGGAUAAUUGUUUUAUGCAAAUAAAAUACAAUGGUGACACUGUCAUCCAUGACUUGCACAAUCUGCCUGUGUGGGGGCUGGACCAAGUCCACCAUCACCUGCCCAGAAAGGGCAUUUUCUGCCACAUCAUCACUGGUUUGUUGGUUUUUUUUGGAUACCAGUUUCCUUUGGUCAGGCCUGGAGCUGCUUUGAGAUGAGGCCGGUGCUGUGAGAUGAGGCACUGCAAAAAUCUGCUCUGAGUGCCUGUGUGCCACUUAAGAGAAUUGAAGAAAACCUGACAAAUCCAACCCCCUCAUCAAAAUUAUUCAUUUGUAGGAGGGUGGAUGAAAGCUCCCUUUGCACCCAAUAAGCAUUUUGAGUUGGUACCAAGGGUUUUUUGGGAGGGUAUUACAUUUUAAAAACAACUCAACAAAGAUUCCAGUGGGUUGGACUGAAAUGAUCUAAAACUUUCUACCUGCCACAAAUCUAAGUUCUUCCUUUCUCUGUGUCUUUGUACCUCAAUUAUUUCCAUCAAAACACACUGGGCUGAGAGUGCUCCUUAGGAAGAUCAUGUGGGAGAUGUGGGAAUGUUUUGCAGACAGAGCAGAAACUGCUGGCCAUCAACAGAGAGAGCAGUACCUGCAUCACUCUGCUCCCCUCUUUUAUCUUUUUCUCCUUCAGGAGUUCAUACUUCGCUGCUACAUCCAAGUGGCUGCACAGGUAAGUGUGGCUAUUACUGCAUAAAUCCCUAAUGCACACAAGGCAGUAUGAAAACACUGAGCGUGGCAACAACAACCACCACCAUGAAAGGCUAUCUCUGAAAUCCAAAACCCCAGACUCCCCAUUCCUCUUUGAUCUCCCUGACUCAGGGGUUGUGGUUUCUCAGGAUGUCCACAGAUUAAAACCUCUUUUUCAAGUACUCCAAGAUCUACUAACGAUUUAUUUCCUGGCAAAUUGUACACUGCUGCUACCAGAGAUAAUUAAUAAUAAUAUUGAAAAUGUUUAAUAAUUUGAUAAUUGACUGAUUUGUUGCCACUAUUUGCAUCGCUUGACCACGCUUACGGAUUAGCAAUGUAUUUCUCCUCGAGAUAAUUGAUAUUUGUAUUCACAGUGUGAGGAAAUGCCACCUAUUCCUGCAGCAGCAAAUCAGGAACCAUUUACCCUGCCAAUACAGUUAGACAAUGUUUACGUGCAGGGCUACAUUCAUUGUUUGACUAAUCCGCGAGGGGUAGAUUUUCUAUUGCAUUUCAAUAGCUCAUCUACUUCAGGCUGUUGUGAACUUUCUAAAGAUGUGUUUUCACUGAUAAUAGCAGAUCUUGGAGUGCAGUAAUCUGGAAUUGAAGUUUCAGUGACAGAUUUACUCAACGAGCGUUUUGCAUGAGGCAUUACUGCAAACAUUAUUUUAUACCUGCGCGUGUAUAAAUAUUUUACACGUAUGCGCGGAGCCGACAAAAGCUUCGGGAGAUGAUUUCUGCAAUUCAGCCAACGAAGGAUUUCAAGUCAAGCACCGGUGUCCGAGCGUUUUUCAUAAUGGAUUUCACAGCAGAUGACCUGACAGCUAAUCUCAUGAUCUGAGCUGCACAUAUCCAAACAAACGCCCGCCAGGCCCCCAAAGGGUCCCCUGCUUUCACAUGCCACGGCGGCGAUGUCCAGAGGUCCAGACUGACCUCCUCACCCCCCGUCUGGGAAACAUUCCUGCUCCCGGCGGCUCAUUCUUGCCGACAAACAGAGCAGGACCAGUGGGCACUUGCUGAAAAGGGACAAGAGAGGGGCCGUGAAUGGAGCGUGUCUGGUACAACAAUGCCAGACAAUGUCUGUGAAUGGGGUUGCAAACCGUGCUCCUGUUAGAGGGGCUGCCAGCAGCUUCCCUGCCCCCUCUCCUCCUCCUCUGCUCUCCUUUCAGACACACAUCAGACCCAAAGACACACCAAAGGGGUGGACAAAGUCACUGGGUGCUGUGUUGCAGAGGGGGAGUCUGAUGGCUACAUAAUUCUCCAUGUGCCACCUGCCCCUGGUGCCACUAAAACUGGUGGCAAGGACAAAACCAAAACUUUUGAGUGCAAGCCCACUCUGGGAUGGGCCACUGGCCUCCAGUUCUGGAUUUUUUAGAAGCACCACAAGGCACCACUAAUGAGGGGUGGGGUUCAGACCUGGUUUGAUUUUUCUUUAAGUUGGGGGUUUUGGAGAAAAACAAAGCAAACAAGAAACUGUUUACCCAUAUUGUGACAUUUGUCUCCCAUCUAGUUUGUAGCAAAAAUGGCUUCACAGAGAACAUGAGAUAAAAGAAGAACACGUUAAAGGUUUUAUAGGAUACACUGAAACUUGUCUCACUUCUGUUUAUCCAAAUCCUGAGUAACUUUUCCAAAACCAAGAGAGAGUCCAAAUUUUACUGGUGAAGGCCAGUAUGCAGCCCAAAGCACAGAAGGAGUUUGGAAAGUACUUGGGCCUAAAUAUUGACACUUUUACCCUGAGAAGAUAUAAAGUUCCAUUGAAAAAUACUUAAAAUUACUCCAAUUACAUCGGAAAUUUUGAAUUAAAAUUAAAUAUAUUUUCUACUUCCAGUACUUAUUACCAGUGCUGAUCACAAGUUACCAUUAUAUCUACAGGAUCUACAAGUUACCGUAAUGUCUACAGACAUUAUGUCUCUGGUACUGCCUUACUCUACAGUCCACAGCCUUGCAAAAAGGAAAUAAAAGGAAAUUAUGAAACAGCAAGUGCCAUAUGAAAACCUCUUCCCAAGAGGCUCUGUGAGCCUCAGAAAGGCUAUUCUGGGUGUUGAAUCAAAAGCUGGGGAGCUCCAGUUGGGAAACCCACAGUGUACUCCCAGAGAAAUUUGGGAUUUCUCCUCUUGGGAGCCCACCAGUAACUCUAGCUCUACAUCUGCAAAUGCCCUUUGGGACAGGAGCAGUUGGGUCAAGGCUGAGACUGCAAAUCUUAGUAACACACAAAAAAAAAUCCUUCAAAGACUGGGAGCUUUCAGGAUCAAAGACGCCCCAUCUGACUGAUGUGUCCAUCUAUGUUUCUCUGUCUGCAGAGCUCUGCAUGGGUCUAUCUGCAAAAUAAAACUUCCUGCCCGUAUUUUAGAUCAUUUCCCAAAAGCAUAUUUGGGAUGUGAAUGUCCAGGCUGACCUGCCCAGACCUGUAUCAGCAACUAAUUUAAGCCAGCUAA
Molecule: long non-coding RNA, 4971 nt
Organism: Passer domesticus (house sparrow)
Lineage: Eukaryota; Metazoa; Chordata; Aves; Passeriformes; Passeridae
Exons: 4
Source: RefSeq, a predicted model, not a curated record